Molecule: ribosomal RNA, 451 nt
Filed under: Saphobius squamulosus
Lineage: Eukaryota; Metazoa; Arthropoda; Insecta; Coleoptera; Scarabaeidae
Description: partial 16S ribosomal RNA
Rfam family: Bacterial large subunit ribosomal RNA
Source: RNAcentral
CAUGUCUUUUUGAUUAUAAUUUAAAGUCUGACCUGCCCUAUGAAUAAAUUAUUUUAAAUGGCCGCGGUAUUUUAACCGUGCAAAGGUAGCAUAAUAAUUAGUUUCUUAAUUGGGAACUGGUAUGAAUGGUCGAACGAGAAAAAUACUGUCUCAAUUUAAAUUAAAUUAGAAUUUUAUUUUUAAGUUAAAAAGCUUAAAUAUUUUUAAAAGACGAGAAGACCCUAUAGAGUUUUAUAAUUUUUAAAUUUAUUUAAAAAUUUAAGUAUUAAAAAUUUAAUUAUAUUAAAAGUUAUUUAAUUGGGGCGAUUAAAAAAUUUAAUAAACUUUUUUUAAAUUAAACCAUUGAUAUAUGAGUAAGUGAUCCAUAAAUUAUGAUUAUAAGAUUAAAUUACCUUAGGGAUAACAGCGUUAUUUUUUUUUAGAGUUCUUAUCGAAAAAAAAGUUUGCGACC